CCCGCAGUGUUCAUGAUUUUUUUUAUGUGUCAUGGCAUUUUGUUUUUCUUUCUUUAAUUAAAUAUUUAAAUGUUAUGAGAACUAAUUUUUGUUAGAAUUUUGUUUACGUUAUUCCAACACCAAGGCGUUUUGCAUGGCUGCCAGUUGCAAUUCGAGACGGUAAUAGUAUUCCGCAGAAGUAUCGAUCAAUAUCUUAUUCGACAAAAACGAAAAUCAUUUUAAUUUUUUCCUUUUUAAUGGCAAAAUUCAUACAAUUAGCCCAGAAUGGAGACAUCUAUUAAAAUGUUUUCAAGAUUUCUCUUCAGAGAGUUUUGAUUUGACUAGCUACACAACAAGAAAGGGAGAGACAAUUGCGAGUAAUUUUUAUGGGCUUCUGAUUGGUUGAAUCGAUUCAAAAUGGCCGCGCCCAACAGCCAAAUUCUAGAGAGUGUUGUGUAGACUACUGUAGAACGCCGGAAAACCAUACUUAGUGCCUGCCAAGCUUACGAGCCUGUAUUUUGAUCGAUUUAUUUUCGUCAUGCGUAAAACAAGUCCCGCGAUCUUCCUUGAGCCUGCCAACGAGAUUUAUUCCCAUCAAGGUCAUAUCGUGUGCUGUUCGAUAAAAUGGACCCAUUUGGAGUUUCAGCUUUUCAGCUGAUGAAAUCCAGGAAGCAGUUUCCUGCUUGUUGACGGGUACCUACAUUUUGAAUCGAGAUCUAUACGCGAUUUUGGACCUGUUAGCAUAGACAGAUUCCCAACAAACAGGUAUGCAAAAUCAAUACUUUUUAUACUGUUACGGCGCCACUCUUCCACGCAUCAGCCAGGGAAAUUGAAAGCAACAAGAAGACAACUCAGAUUUUAAUUCCAUUUUACCCACCUUAUUUCAAAACUUCUCCCUGAUACGCCAAUGUCAGUUCCUGUAGAUAUUUAGCCUUUAGCAACUAAAAUGUAAGACAAUUCAACUUGUGAAUGUCAGUUGUGUUUUUCCCAGUAAAUAUGUCUUACAAUUAUUGUCAAGGCCCUAUUGGAAGUUAUCAGAAAGGGAGAUUGGAAAGAUCGCAUAUUAGGCUAGUUGCCAUGGCAAAAUAUAUUUCUUUUCCGUUAAAGGUAGCCUAGUCUAUAUAUAUUUAUAACCUAUAGACGUAUUUGCCUUUCAAACAGCACGUUAUACAACGCGCAUUUAAAGGAUUUCUCAAGUUUGAACGUACGUAUAAAGAGAUGUAAUGUCUGCCAUUGAUAAUUUAAAUUCUUCCUUGAUAACCCACAGACAGCAGCAUAACACAAAAAAAGUCUGUUGCGUGAUAACCUUAAAUGGCUUUAUCGUUUUGAAUGGAACAAGCUGUCCUUUUAACUCUUGAUAUUGUCGUUGAUGCAGCUUUAUUUCCAAAACUCUUUGUGUAUAUGCCACUACAUUGCCUCAGUUUUAAGUUGGAAAUGUCCCCGGCGACCACAAACUGUAAAAGUUCAUCGUUUAAUACCCAAACAAUGCUCUAGAUAUACAUAUUUAAUCGACUUGGAUAAUGCAUAUACAGUCUAUAUAGCUAAAGGUUUUUCUUUCCACAGCAGCGAGUAAGAGUUUUGCUAUUUUGCACACGGUGCUGCAGAGCCUGUCAAUCAUUAACGUGUAUCAUUCAAGUUUAACUAUAGCUAUGUUUAUUUUUUUCCAACAGUAGUAGUCAUUUUACUUUUUCCUCGACGUAAUCUUUUCUUGACGUCAGUGUUUAUUGAUUGAAUUUUGCCCCCAGCAGUAUCACAGCAAGACCAGUAAGCACACAUUUUUUUAUCAUAGUAGACUAUAUAUUAGGUAGAGGUAUCGUAUUUCCAAAUUUGGUAACUUUAGAGCAAGCAGGCGAUGUUUAUAUUCACAGACUAAUUUUCAUUAAAUUUUAUUUGUAUUUAAUUUUUUAAUGAAGUGAGAAAAUAGGUCGUUAAUUUUAAUUUUCUAUUUUGCUGGUCGCUAGAAAAAGUUUAGUUUGAUAGGGAGUCCGACUUUGUUGGUAUCCCUCAAACCUACAUUGCAACAUUGUCAGGGCUAAACAGCAGCCAUAAUUUUUUUUUUUUUUUUUUUUGCACACUUGAUAAAGCUCAGUUUAUUUACAACAGUAUUGUCACGUAGUAUAUUAUUCUUAGACAAAGAAACAUAUUUGGUUUUUAAGGACGUAUAGUAAUCCUUACAAAAACUCAAUGUUGUUUUCCUUGGACUAGUUCAGACAGCGUUAACGUUUCCAAAACGUGUAUUUAAAAUUUAACGACUUUGUGUUGUUCCUCCCAUAAGCAGUGUAUUUUCCUUCCCUUUAGAAAAAAGACGGGCAUGUAUCACUGUGCUCUUAUUGGCUGGAUGCAAUAUCAAAAUGGCUGCCAGCACCAAGUCCACUGCUAUGUAAGCUUAGAGAAGAAAAAAAAUGCCGCCCUUACAUCUCGGCGCAUACACCCCCAGAGUAGUUACCGUAUGCUUCCCUUGUAGCUUUUUUGUGAUAAUCAAAUAGGGGGACUGGUAUUUUAACGUAUCACAUUGGGCACAAAUAUCAAGUAGCGCGUAAAAAGUUGAGAGUGCAAAUUUUUGUGUCCAUUACUCUAAUCAGUCGAUCAGAUAAAGGACCAUCGCAUUUUCUUUAUAAACGCGGGAAAAUCCGUCGAAGGAAAUAUCCGCAGAAAUCUGUCAACUCUGCGUGCCAACAUCAGUCAGCUGAUUUACAGAGAAAACUUGUGCUUGUUAGCUCUGUCAGUUUUCCAUCCAUAAUCAUCGAAGCCACGAACCACUUUAAUUGUAGCUGACGUACGAUUUGAUUAGAAACUGUUUACGAUGUAGAUUAUGCUUAUUUUUAGCCAUAAAAUUCGUUUAAAACUUGCUUACUAAAUGUAUCUUGUUUUAUUGUCUUUUGGCAAGUUUAGACAAACAAAAUGUUAAUGGUUUACGCAAAGACAUAUUUUACUCGGUAGGCUAUUCAUUACAAUAGACUUUCAAGAGAGAGAGAAAUUAUACAUCCACUUACUUUAUGUUUAACGCAUAUAGUACACUUUCAAUCGUAACCUUUCCCAAAAAACUGACCUGCCCUAAAUGAGGUAGGAUGCGUGACAGAAAACAACGACGGUUGGUCGAAAUCUAUAUACCGACCUUUGUCGCUUUCAGGCUCUAUUCACGAACAACUUGUUUUUGACAGCCAAGUACUGCCCCAUAAAAGCUCUCUUUGUAUUGGGAUAUUUUGCUUGUGUGGGCAGGCUCAUAAUAUGAAAACGAUACCUUUUUUCCCGCCGAGUAUUAGCAGCAAAAGUAAUGUUGGUGUGAAAGUUGAUUUCUCCGUAGUUCCGUGUUAGCCAUCGAAUACAAAGUGUCUUUUUACCCAGAAGCUUGGUAUGUAUGAUUCUCUUAUUUUAAUAACGAAAAUUACCAUGUAGAGAUUCUGUUUAUCCCAUUCAGCCAGACACUUGGAUGAAGAACAUGAACUAAAAGUCUAUACGCCAUGGAUUGGUCUUUGACGAUGAGAUGAACGUGUUCUAUAACACAGAUUUGUUUUUAUUGUUUUCAUAUCCAUGUUUCAAGUGUCGCAUUCCAUAACGAGCAGCAGCCUUUAUAUGGAUGGGAUUUAUGCGUUUGUUUUCCAGGUUUCACGUUUGUAUAAUAUGCAAGCUAUACUGCUUUACAUUCUAUAUAGUCUUGUUUCUAGACCCCUUAAGAGAAUUGCGUCUCCCUUUUUCUACUGGCAGCUAACUAAUACUUUUCAAAGUGGCUCACUUAUAGUCUACCAUUUUGUAUGGAGCUGCUGUCAUUUCCAAUCAUUCCAUCUCGCCUGUUUGCUAUGCUCCAUCCUACUCGAUCCCAAUUAAAACGCUUUCUUGAUGGUUUAAGCCCAUACCCCCAUAUUAAAAUUUUGAUCGGUAAAGCUUUCAUGUGAUAGAAAAACUCAACCUAGUUCGCUUAUCGAGAUAUAGGCCCCUUUGGGUUCGUUCAAAUAUUGCUGUCAUCAUCCUAAUCGCAAAUGGGCGACGUGACUGAUCACUAUACGCUUAGAUGAAAGUUAAUUCUGUAGCACUUUAAGUACAUCCUCUUCAAGAAAAAAAAUACUUUUACUUCUCAGUAAAAGGAAAAUAAAGAGCUUUGUGGGCUAAAACCUCUUCUUUAAACUCUGGAACUUGCAUAGUAAGUUGUCGUCUUUGUCGGUGUAUAUCUGUGCGUUAUUCUAACGAUCGUCCGUAUAGAAAAGACCGACUUAUGUUGCAAAGUGUCAAUAUAUACUAAAGUUCAGAAGAAACAAGAAAAACGACUUACAAAGUUUGGUGCACUACUAGGAAGAUUGUUUCCCUCGUAGGGAAAAAGUAUGGAGAAAAAUAUAAUAUUAGACUAAAAAGUUUAGGCUAUAGGCCUACAGUAAAAGCAAUUCAAUAACUUUCCAUUUGUAUGAUGGCGUUGUAUACACGCGAAAUGGGUAAACUUCAGUGAUUUGUAGUUUUACGCAGUAGAAAAUCGUAAAAUGACAACUAUAAUCAUUUCACCUUCAUAUGGUUGUGUGGGUAUAAGAAAGCAAAAAAAAAGAUAAUAAACUGUAUCUAUUGGGUGCUGCUUAUAUCGAUUGGCCAAUCUUUCCACCCAUUUAUGGAUAUAUGUGGACCUUUGUAUAACGACAUAUAGCUAGCCUACGUUUUUCUAUUUGCAGAAUGCAGUGCUGAUUCAAGACGUCACAUCGUCGUUGUUUGUUCAUUCCCAGCUUUCCAGAAAGUUAAAAAUUUCAUAAAAACUUGGCUGCAUGUACUUCUUGAAAGACUUCUGUAUUGUGGCUUCUUAGAAUAAACUUUUUAAUUUUAUAGGAAAUAGUUGUUCAUGUGUGGUUUACUAUGCCGUUUUAAUUUGACUUUUCAGCUGUAUCAAUUUCCCUACCCACAAUUCUCAAAAUCUGCUGUUCAGUGUGUAAGUACACCAAAAAAAUUUACUGCAAAUAAGAUUAAUAUUGUUAUAAGAUAUGUGUGCACAAUAACGGCAUUUAUUAUAAACCGUCUAUAGGAUUUCUUUCGUAUGGAAAGUGCAAGUUGUUAUAGCAACGUGACCGGCUGAACUGUCAACAGCUGCGUUCAUCCCUCGAGAGUCUUAUCAAUAGCUAACAGGUUGUGCUGCGUCCAUAAGAAAUCUAUAACUGUUGAGAUCUGUUUGACAUAUAGGUAGAAAAUCGGAGUGCUUAUUUUGGGUUUAUAAAAAGAUCAUACAAUUUUUUGGCUUCAUACUGGAGAAAGGCAUCAUAAUGCACCAGAACUCAGGACUAAAGAUAGUGUUUUCUGUAUAAUAAAGAUCGUAUACUGAAUGCUAGUUGAUAUAACUGUUGAGCUGAACUUUUCUGAUCGUUGACAUAUCGUUGACUGCACCAGCCUUUAUAAUUCUGUCUUUAGCAGAUAAAUCAGACGUUUUGCCUCAGUGCAGCAUUAAUACCCGAGUAACGGAAAACAAGACAUCGUAGUCUUGACGAUUUCUGUUGCUCGAAUGUGUGCUGGUGUAGUCUAGACAUUGACGUCUGCUAUAGACGCAAUAGUAUUACGUAGCUAUUUAUACUAGCCUAUACAUUUACAGUCAGAUGCUAAUUGUUCUUAAUACGAACAACAACAAAAUUAUAGUGAAGAUAAUCAUUCUGUGCUUUUGCACCUAUAGUCUACUGUUCCAGAAAGAGAUCACAAGCUUGUUCAUAUUGGCUUAGGUUAUGAACACAAACAUUGAUCUUCUCGCUUUUGGCAAGGCGAUGAUGCAAUACAAAUAGCACCCAGGAAUAUAUAGUCACGAGGUUCUAACCUUAUCUCUACUGUCUAUUCAGUCGUUAUCAAUCUCAUUGGGAUUGUAUCUCUAUGAUAGCUUUACGUUAGAUUUCUGGGCUGGGGAGGUGCAACACCAUAAAUCAUUCAGUGGUGCAUUCGUGGAGAGGCAAUGCACAGUCUUGCAAUCAUUAUAACAAAAUCCUCUGCCUAAAUUUAAAGCUCAAAAAUUGGUAUCUAGAGAGAAAAUAUUUGUUGGAAACAUCAAUUUAUCGUAUUCGUAUCGAAGAGGGAAGGAUGGCAGAAAUGCUAUGCCAAAGCUCCGCCAGGUCGGGCUACAGUAUAUCGAGACUUGUGUCUUUUUGGUAGGUUCAGAUUUCGUUUCGAUUACGUCCAUUGAUUUGAAAUGACUGCCUUUUACUGAGGAAAAGAAAAUUUUGAAAUGCAAUUCUCGAUCGAUAGUCUAAAACCCCUUUUCUACGUUAUGUGAAAAGAAAAGAAUUCUUCGUCCGUUGUGCUGUUAUAAGGUGUAAUGUAAACUAAUUCAACAUUUAAAUAUUGUGAACCUAUUUUCCAGCCAUUAUUUUAAUGACUGACACGAUAAUUAAUCAGGACGAAACAAGGAAAAGAAUAUAAUUAAAAAAAUCAACACUGCAAUCGAAUUUCUCCAUGAAAAUAUUCAACUAAAUCUUAGAAUUUCUAAAAGAUCCUAAUUAGGCUGACUCAGAUAUUUCUAAAAUUUCAACAAUCUUUUAAUGCAUAGUAAAGAAUUUCUAUAAUUAGAGAGUAGGCCCUGUACAUUGUCUUCGUUAAAUUUGAAAGAAAAAGAAAAAGGAAAAAAAAACAAAAAGAAAAAGAAAAAAAAAAUAUUUUUCUGUUUAUUCUGUCGUCUGCCGCGACAAUUUUUUUAUAAACGCCAUAGUCCUGUCUCCAUUGGCUGUAUUCCAUAUCAAGAUGGCUGCCUCCGAGGAACAAUAACAGGUUGUGUUUUGCGUGUGUUCCUUUCUUUUUUUGUGUUUUCAAGAAGUUACACAUAAAUGUCCGCUUUGUGCAGUUCCAGUGUUCAAAGAGGACAUCGGCUAGGAAGGACAACUACUUAUCGAAAAUUUAAAAAAUUUAAUUUCUUAGAAGUACGCUGCUUAAUCUGUUUCUGGAACUGCCAUUAAGUCUCAACUGUAUUUGGACGGUAUACAAAGUUGGAUGAAUACGCAAAACAAAAAUUUUCUUCACUUUUUUCGUCUAAUUGAAAUCAGAAGAGAAAGCCAAACUUUGUUGAAGUAAAUGUGGAAGUCGUCUGCUGCUGUUAGUUAACGACUUAUUGCGGAUCCCAAACAAUGCUCCAACGACAUCUAUACCCUGUCUAAUGAAAACUAAAAGGAUCAACACCACCAGAGAAACUCCAACCCUCCAAUAAUCAACGGCGCAGAAGUCCAAAACCAGCUGGCGUCACAGCUGGGUGCUUAUACCAAUUGAAAUUGAAUUAUUGCAGAGUUUUGCAUUUCUAGCAAGACUGGUCGUAAUGCAAAGUGGUUGUUGAAUAAGGUAUUGGCGUGAAAUAUAAAACAUUCUACAUUUAAACGACACGGAAGAAGUUUCUCCCGGGAAACUCAUUAGUUAAAUGAAGCAGAGCACUACUGAACGGAUUUUUGUGUAAUACGUUAACGGAGGCAAAAAUUAACCUCGAUUUUCGGAACAGCCCAGAAAGUGAAAUCAGACUUCAGCAAAGCUCACAUCAUGACAGAGUUUUUCAAAGUUAAAAGCAACAUAUGCAGAGUAAUGGGAAAACAUUGGGGUUAACUGAAGAACAUUACGAUCCAAUGACAGAAUUGCCACAGUGAGAUUAAUCGUGCGUCUGUUGACUUCUUUUCAACGAAAUACCAAUCACAAAAUCAGUGUUUUCUUUGUUGCUUUGUGGAUUGUCCGUGAAAAGCAGCUCACGUCAUCAACCGACUUGUUGCGUCGUUCAAAGAAUACGAGUAUGGGUGUUUUGUUGUAUGUGUUUUCUCGGCAAUACUUUCCAUAAGCACUUGCCAGCUAUUGAUUAUCCGAAUUCAAAUUGAUGUGUAAAAGCUGCAUAGGUAAAUUACGUAGGCUAUUAUUUCUGGAACGUAGGAAGAAGAUAGAGCUCUUUGAAAGACAUAAAAAUCCAAGUAAUUUUCAAGUUAAUUUUGAAAAGAAAAUGGAUAUAAUCACGGUAAGUUGGUACGACAAAUACUUGACUAUAACUCGCUCACUUUGUUACAAGUAAGUAUCCUCUCACAAGGCGAGAUGAGUCAGAUCAUCUGUGAUUGGUCGAAAGCCCAUUCAAAAUGGCCGCCCCAUUACGAAAGGAUGGGUAAGAAAUGGCGCGCGAGAUCGGCAGCUGCCAAAAACCUUUCCCACGUCGUCUCGUAUUGAGGAAGGUCGAGUGACUCAUCGUCAUCACGGUUUCAUUGUGUACAUUCAUUACAACUACACGGGUUCAUAAAGUAAGCCUAAAAUAUCGAAUUAGCUCCAAGAAAGUGUGAUCAAGUGACUCAAGUGAUGGUGAUCCACCUGACAGCCGGCUGAAGAAGCCGACAUACCAAUGCAAUGUAGUACCAAAAUACUCGUUCAGCAAAGCUACCCAAUGAAAAAUGUUUCCAGACUCGACAGAUGUUGAGACAUUGUCGCAGGAAUCUCGACGAACAGGAUCUUGCUUAUUUUUUGGGUAACUUAACUUAACGAAACGGGGGGAAAAGGAAAAAGUGGGGUAGAUUGUUUGGUGUUUCGUCACAUGUAGGUAGUGAACAGCGUUGGCCAUCUAGCGGUAAUUUUCUGAUAGUCCGUGCAAGCAAAAAUUAUCCUACCGGUUUUUGAGGAAAGGUAUCCUUCUCAUACUUCUUCAAACAUUCAAAUCAUAUAUGCAUGAUUAGCUAGCCCGGUCUAAUCGUUUUCGCAUUCCGUGCCGUUGUGUGAUCUUGCAUAACCACAAACGUAUUUUCCAAGUAGGAUGGCAAUUAACUGCUGAGUUUGCAAAACAUUCGUCCCUAAGAAGAAAAAGCCCCAUUUUACCCUUGUAAGUGCGACCUAGCGUGUCAGUGUAUCUCUCAAGAAGUUGUCAUGUGCGUCAAGUGGACAGGGUGAUGUUUCAUAGUUGUAAAGCAUGUCAAUAUUAUGUUAGUCUUCAAACAAUAAUCUCUUCUUUAUUUAGACAUGAUUUAUCCCCUCAGAAAACCAAACUAUUAGGCGUGCCCAACCAGUUGUCAAAUCCUGUUGCGGGGAAAACCUUAAGAAAGGCUUUUUAACCUAAAAAUAAGUAAGCAAUGGAAAAAAACAAAAACAAAAGGCAAACAACAGCUUAAAGAACAAAAGAGAAAAAGAAAUCGAAGCGUAGCGGAAGGAGAACAAAACAGAACUAGAAAACCAAAACCACGUAAACAAUUUAAUUUAUUAUACGUAUUCAUUUACGGGGAAGAGUUAGCUUUGAGUAAAUAACAAGAAUUUCUGCAGCAGAAUCAACAUUUAAAGGCGGAAUCCGUAAUUUAUUUUGAUGAAAAAUAGCAAAUUUACAGACGCACUCAUGGCUAAAUCAAAAAGUCAAUGUACAGCACAUUGAUUUACAUUUACUUUCGAACGUCAGACUGUUGCUGCUUCUUGGCCUGUUUCAUUUUCAUAGCCGUCCCUUUCAUUGAAGUGAUGACUUGCUUCUUGUUCUCCUCCUUGAGCCGUUUCUCUUCUUCUUCAUCCACCGGUUCGACCCCAUCCUUAUUUUUGUCGGUUUCGUCAACCAGAUCAUUUUGCUGUCGAAAAAAGUCUUCAUAUGUAAACUUGACGCAAUGGACCGAGUCGCACAACUCGAAACCGCAUUGUAAACAUGCUGGAAGCCGGAUCUCCGUCACUCCUGAACGGUUUGUUCUAAUUAUUCGACGUACGGAAAGGCCGCUGACAAACCCACUAAUCCUCCUAGUUCGAAUCCCUCCUUCUCGUCUUGUUUUCAAUCGCAAUUUCUCCAAUUCGACCAACCUUAAACAAAAUUGUCGUCUUGUUAAGAUUUCGCAAAACAGCAACUUAGCCAAUACUUAGUAAAGAACUCGUCGUCCUGUUUCGAGGCGGGCCGUGCAACCGUCAACAUUUUCCAGUUAAUGUCGACAGUGGCGAGAUCCAGGAUGCGAACGGAUUGCAUGGCCACUGGUAUAGGAUCCGGGUAAGAAUGUCCACAGUUAACGCUGAUUGGAUGGAUUCCGGCGACGAUACGACCAAUCUUUUGCGGUGAUUUGUCCCUCGCACCUCCAGUCCGAGCAUAUUGACGGUUUGAUACGAAAUUCAGGGAUGUGUGCCAAGAGUUUUUCAAACUCCUGUUUGGUGCGUGGCCGGGCCGUGGAUAAGUCGAGAGCCUGCAUGGCCUCGGCGCGCGGCGCCAACAGAUCUUCCAACCGAAAAAGAGACAUGGCUGCGCAGAUCUACUCAUGUCUUUUCCAAUCAACCAGCUACAAGCUGAUCUAACGCUGGACGAUGUCUCGUCUCAGCAGCCGUCCCUUCCUGUUUCGUCAAAAUCCACAACAACAAAGGAUCUUUAAUGAAGUAAACUGCUUGUUUGGAGUGCAUGUCCCACUGAACGUUUUGGCCAAGCGUGACAGGAGCAGUCGGCCCACCACUAAUUACAGUUGCCUCGUCCAAUUGCCAAUCGAUCCACAGUGCUACGCCAUUAACAGUGCCAGUGACUGGUAAGUUGACCUUACCUUCCACUUCAGGAAUUUCUUUGGUCAUUAGGGAAAGUGUCGUCAAAUCUAGCAUCAUUAGUUGAAUAGCUGGACUUAGCGCGCGAGUGGGAUAUUCCCACAGAGGAUGAGGCUCAACUUGAGAAUCGCUGGUAUCUAUAGCACUCUGCAAUCGUGGUUAUCAAAAACUGACAGAUCAAUUCCUUGAGUGGAGCGUACCGGUGCCCUGAUUUUCCAUAAAUCUUUCAUCUCGACGGCCAUGGCGUAAAGGUACGCCUUGCCAGGUAAAAUUUUUGUCACGCCAUCUGCCAAUAAGUGUUGCACGUUGUUUUUCCAACGCGCGAAGUAAAGGUUGUGCCAUGGUAGCACAGAGCUCUCGAAAACUGGCUCUCCCAACACCAGAUUUACCUACACAUAGCAAUAAAAAGAAAAACGUAAACCAACGCAAA
Molecule: long non-coding RNA, 10837 nt
Filed under: Daphnia magna
Lineage: Eukaryota; Metazoa; Arthropoda; Branchiopoda; Diplostraca; Daphniidae
Description: uncharacterized LOC116918666, transcript variant X2
Source: RNAcentral